GAAACGCGAUAGUUAAUGUGAAUUGCAGAAUUCAGUGAAUCAUCGAGUCUUUGAACGCACAUUGCGCCCAUAGGUAUUCCUUUGGGCAUGUCUGUUUGAGCGUCAUUACAACCCUCAGCUAACCGCUGGUUUUGAACCUGAACGGGUGACACCGCGCCGGUUUUAAAGUUGUAAGCUCUGCUGGCCGCUCUGCCCAACCAGAACAUAGUAAGCACUACUUGUCCGGGUGAAGCUGUACGGUACGGCCUGAACAAAACCUACCCACUCUCAAGGCUUGACCUCAGAUCAGACAAGGAUACCCGCUGAACUUAAGC
Molecule: unclassified non-coding RNA, 314 nt
Filed under: plant metagenome
Description: partial contains 5.8S ribosomal RNA, internal transcribed spacer 2, and large subunit ribosomal RNA
Rfam family: 5.8S ribosomal RNA (bases 1-105)
Source: RNAcentral